GUGUUAGCAAACUUUGGCUCUCCUCUCUUUCUCCUCUCCUGCCUUUGCUGGCAUUGUGUUCCUGCUCUGUGUGAGAGAGAGUGUGUGCAUAUAUUUUAGUAGUGAGCAGUCUUGAAGCACUCGAUUGCAACCUAAUUCAAAAGUCUGCAGACUCAAAUCGAGUCAAAACGCAACUCAGAGAGGUGCCAAUCUGCAUUCACCGCUGGUAGCAAUGAAAUGAACGGAAUCAGCUGGGCUCCACGUCGUCACAGGAACUCGCCGCUUACGGCAACAACAGCGAAAACUAUUUGAUAGUGUCUGCCUCUUUUUUUAUUUGGAUGUCACUAUAUCAUGGUGCUUGUUUUAAUUUUAUUUUUUAAUUUCUUUUGGAAUUCAAAUACCUUUUUUUGGU
This is a long non-coding RNA of Rhincodon typus (whale shark), 391 nucleotides long. RefSeq lists it as uncharacterized. Lineage: Eukaryota; Metazoa; Chordata; Chondrichthyes; Orectolobiformes; Rhincodontidae. The transcript has 3 exons. The record is from RefSeq and is a predicted model, not a curated record.